CACCACAAUAAAAGCUGACACUACACUGCUAAAAUUAUUAUCUCAUAAUUACCUUCCAGAAAUGGGACCAGACAAAGGAUACUUAUACCAAGAGAGAGUAUUUAAUCAUGCUGAUUGAAUCAAACCUACAAACAAAUGGACUUAAUAGGUAUCUACAGAGUAUUCCAUCCAACAACAGAAAAAACAUUCUUCUCACCAGCACAUGGAACUUUCUCCAAAAUAGACCACAUGCCAGCUCAUAAAUCACGCUUAAGUAAAUGCAAAUGAAUCACAAUUAUCCCAUGCAUAUUAAUAGUUCGCAGUGUGAUGAAACUAGUAAUCAAAGCAAAAUUACAAAAGAAAUUAUGCAAACACAUGGAAAUUAAACAAUACCCUCUUAAAUAAUCCAUGGGUCGUAGAAGAAAUUAGACAGUCCCUAGAAUCAAAUGAUAAUGCCAGUACAACAUACUGGAACCUAUGGGACAAAAUGAAAGCAGUCUUUAGAGAAAAGUUUAUAGCUGUGACUGCCCAUAUCAGAAAAGCAGAACAAAUUCAAAUAAAUAACCCAGUGAUGUAUCACAGGGUCCUACAACAAUCCAAAUCCAAAGCUAGUACAGAAAGUAAAUUAUAAAGGUCAGAGCAGAAAUUAAUGAAAUUGAGACUAAAAUCAAUAGAAAGAAUCAAUGAAUCAAUCACUUCUUGGCCUUUUGGCUAAGACCAAGUGUAGAAUCAAAGAGCUGGUUCUUUGAAAGAAUAAACAAAACUGACAAACCCCUAGUCAAUCUCAUCAAAAAAAGGAAAGGAAAUACCCAAAUAGAUGCAAUUAGAAAUGAAAAAGGUGAAAUCACAAAGGAUUCUGCCAAAACACAAAAAAUUAUUAGUAACUACUCUGAGAAAUAAUACCAUAAAAAGGAGACAUAGCAAAAGAGAGUACAUAAUCAUACUGAUUGAAUCAACCCUUCAAACAAAUGGUCUUAAUAGAUAUCAACAGAGUAUUCCACCCAACAAAAACAGAAUACACAUUCUUCUGAUCAGCACAUGAGACAUUAGAGAACUUGUAUUCUAAUAAAAUGGAGAAUGCAGACGAAAUUGAUAGAUUCCUAGAUACAUAUGAACCAGCAAAGUUGAAUCAAUAAGGCAUAAAAUCUCUGAAUAAUCCACAAUCAAGGCAAUGAGAUUCAAGAAGCAAUUAAAAAAAACUACCAAAUACUAAGUUUUCUUAGGUCCCAAUGGAUUCGCUACUGAAUUCUACAAGAACUCAGGGGAAGCUCUAACGUCAAAACACCUCAAACUCUUUAAUACAAAUCAAUAAAUGGAACACAUCAUGUAAAUAAGAGAAAGGACAAAAACCAGAUGAUCAUCUCGAUGAUGCAGUAAAAGCCUUUGACAAAAUCCAAUAUCCAUUCAUGAUUUUUAAAAAAUGAAGAAAAUAGGUAUUAGAGGAACUUAUCUCAAUCCUGUAAGAGUCAUUUAUGGCAAACCAAUGACCAAUAUCAUAUAAAAAGAAAAGAAACUGAAUGCUUUUCUUUUAAAAUCAGGAAGAUGAUAAAGAUGUCUGCUAUCACCACUAAUGUUCAAUAUAGUUUUCCAAACAUUAGCCAGACCAAUUAGACAAGAGAAAAAAAUAAAAGGGAUAUGUAUAGGAAAGGAAGAAGUCAAAUUAUCAUUAUUUGGAAAUGACAUGAUCCUCUAAAUAGAAGAACAAAAAACAGAAUCUACCAAAAGACUUCUAGAAUUAAUACUCAAAUUCAUUAAGCAGGAUACGUAGUAGGAUACAAAGUCAACAUACAAAAAUCAGUAGCAUUCCUAUACAUCAAUAAUAAAUUCACCAAAAAAGAAAUUAGGGAAACAAUAUUCUUCACCAUAGCAUCAAAAAAAAUUCCUAAGAAUUAACCUAACCAAGGAAGUGAAAGACCUUUACAAUGAAAACUACAGUACUCUGAAAAGGGGGACAGAAGAGGAUAUUAAAAAAUGAAAAGAUAUCCCUUGUUCCUGAAUAGGCAGAACCAAUAUAGUCAAAAUGGCCAUACUUCCAAAACUGUAGUCCACUGCCUUUGUCUUAAUAUCAAC
This 2049-nucleotide long non-coding RNA is filed under the name Heterocephalus glaber (naked mole-rat). RNAcentral's name for it is "lncRNA (ENSHGLG00100045356.1)". Lineage: Eukaryota; Metazoa; Chordata; Mammalia; Rodentia; Bathyergidae. The record is from RNAcentral.